AACAUGAGGGAUAUAUAAAAUAAUCGUUUCUUCAGUAUAUACACAAAUUAAAUAAUCGUCCCACUUUUUACAUUUGUGUUGCAUUUUUAUCGUAUGCAUGAAGUAUACAUGUACAUAUUUCCUUCAGAAUUUAUGAGAAACUAGAAAUUAGUAGGUGAAUAAUCUAUUUUGAUCCACUCAUCUGCUAUAACCAUUGCACGGCUGCACCAUGUAGUAGUUUUUCCCAUAUCAUCAGUGCUUCUUGGCUUCUCUUUCAGCAGCUCUGACAGCUCUGUCAAAAGCAUCCCAUCCAUAUUUAUCAACAUAUUGCACAACCGAUUUCCUGGCGUCAAGGCUCAUCAUCUGGAGAACCUUCCUUUGAUCCUCCGAAUAGUUUCCGUUCACUCUGCCGCCGAUCUUCACGUACUUCCGGACCAGAUUCUCGUAAAUAUAUGCAGCCCCAUUGAAAAUAGGCAACACCAACCACAUACAAAACAGGAGCUUUACGUAUGGCCAGAAAGGAAGCCAGAUUAGUAUUCUCCAGCAGGAUAACUCAAAUAGGGUUGUGAACGAAUAUAUUAUCCAAUACGUUAGCCAUUGCUGAUCAUCAAGCGUUGAAGGGCUUUCGAUAGCUCGCAAGGAUGCAUAUCUGUUUAUCCAUAUGAAAACUUUCAUGCAUAUAUAUAUGUAACAAAAUUAAAGAAUUAUAAAUCUCAAUAAUCCACUUACAAUGGGAAAAGAAGCAUGAUUCCUGGCCUGGUUCAAUAUAAAAAAUAUCAGAUUUUGCACUAUACACAAAAAGAAACUAGAUGUGACACUUGAGUAAAAGAAAAAUCAUGAAGAUAGUCGCUGUAAAUACCCCACUAGGGCGUCCAAACGCUUAGCAACAACUCCAAGAACACCCAUGUUGAAAUUAAAGCUAUAGCUCUCUCCUGAGAUCUACUCGAUCAAGCAAUGGAAAGAUUUCUGGAGAUAAUUAACGAAUGCAAAAAAGAUGAAUGGAAGGAUGAGAAAAUCCAGAAAGGUCUUUAUGGGUCCGUGUUGCGCGUGAAACCAAAGUAAAG
RNAcentral lists this unclassified non-coding RNA (1043 nucleotides) under Hevea brasiliensis (rubber tree). The record is from RNAcentral. Lineage: Eukaryota; Viridiplantae; Streptophyta; Magnoliopsida; Malpighiales; Euphorbiaceae.